GUCAUGUCAGAAGUCCACUGCCCUGAGACUGCCAUGCUGGAGAGGCCAUGUAAAGGUGAUCUGGUCAACAGCCUUCCUUCAGGCAUCCUUGUCAAAGCAUAGAUAUGUGAGUGAACUCAUCUGAGAUUUUCCACUGGCCAACUGAACACUACUAAGUGACCUCAUAUGGGCUGCCUUCUUAGGGACAGCUGCAACCCCCAUUCCCCCACGCAUGAGCUGCCUUGGGUUACGUGGUCAAUACAGAGAAGAGAAGUAACUACAAUAGAGGUAUUCCUUAGCAGCAACCAGGAAAAGAAAAGAAUGAGAAAAAGAAUCCAAUUCCUAUUUCAUAUUCCAUAAUCAAGACAAGAAUAAGAAGAUGGAAACACUUAAGGCAGAGGAUUGAAGGUGAGUGAAAACAUAUGAGGGACGGAUUGUGGAGGAGAUGGAGUGGACAAGAAUAUAAAUAGAGUAUUGUGGCACAGCCCCAAAAAUAUAUACAUAUAUAUAUUACAAAGCAAGUCAAUUACAUCAUAGAGUCAGUCAUGCCAGUUGGUCAAUAUCUUGUGAAACAAAUAAUGUG
This 562-nucleotide long non-coding RNA is filed under the name Monodon monoceros (narwhal). RNAcentral describes it as "lncRNA (ENSMMNG00015007961.1)". The record is from RNAcentral. Lineage: Eukaryota; Metazoa; Chordata; Mammalia; Artiodactyla; Monodontidae.